Molecule: small RNA, 707 nt
Filed under: uncultured Peniophoraceae
Lineage: Eukaryota; Fungi; Basidiomycota; Agaricomycetes; Russulales; Peniophoraceae
Description: eukaryotic LSU rRNA
Rfam family: 5.8S ribosomal RNA (bases 283-436)
Source: RNAcentral
UAGAGGAAGUAAAAGUCGUAACAAGGUUUCCGUAGGUGAACCUGCGGAAGGAUCAUUAGUGAAAGAAAAUGUAUUGAUUUUUAUGGGGCCGAAUCUCGCAUUCGGUUUCAAAAAAAAUCAACUACACUCACAUCCCACACCCCUUUGUGAACUAAACCGCGUGGAGAGUUAGUAGAAUCUCUUUUCGAAACCUCUCACGAUAACAUACCUAUAUAUAUAUACCCCAGUAAUGAAAGUCUCAGAAUGUAAACCCUUUUGCGUAUAUCGCAAUAAAAACUAUACAACUUUCAGCAACGGAUCUCUUGGCUCUCGCAUCGAUGAAGAACGCAGCGAAAUGCGAUAAGUAAUGUGAAUUGCAGAAUUCAGUGAAUCAUCGAAUCUUUGAACGCAACUUGCACCCUUUGGUAUUCCGAAGGGUACGCCUGUUUGAGUGUCGUGAAUUCAUCCACUCGGCCUACAUUUCUUUGUAGUGUGCUGUGCUGGGAUUUGGGGGUUUGCGGGCUUUUUAAAUAAAAUCCGCUCCUCUUGAAUACAUUAGUGAAGGACCCCUAUGGUGGCCCCGAUGUGAUAGAUAAUCUACGUCGUUGGGUGUAAUACUAAGGAAGACUUUGCUUCGAACCGUCUUCGGACAAUUAUUAUAAUCAAACUUGACCUCAAAUCAGGUGGGACUACCCGCUGAACUUAAGCAUAUCAAUAAGCCGGAGGAA